Molecule: RNA transcript, 3296 nt
Organism: Marmota monax (woodchuck)
Lineage: Eukaryota; Metazoa; Chordata; Mammalia; Rodentia; Sciuridae
Gene: Thap2
Gene name: THAP domain containing 2
Exons: 4
Source: RefSeq, a predicted model, not a curated record
UCGCAGUGCUCGCCGAGAUUUGUAGUCUCUCUCCUGCCAUCGGGUUAGCCCUUCGGGUCUCCGGCUCACACCCACCCCAGGCUCGGAAUUGGGACAACUGGGUGCGUGCCGGGGUGGGCGGACCUGCUUAUUGCAGAUGUCAGAACGUUUCGUGGUAAUCCGAGGGGAAAACACCUCUGUCUUUCAAUUGCUCCGAGGACCACUGCCAAAGAUACUCCCUUCAGGGAACCGGGGAGGGGGGUCCGCCAUAUUGGUGAAGGCAGACGAAAGCGCCUAGAGCUCCAGGAUGGUUGGCUCUGCGGGCGCAAAUCCGCCAUAUUAUUAAAGAGAAAGGGAAGGUUGACCCUCCUUUGCAACCCUCCUUCCAUACACACCCUUUUCCCCACCCUGCUUUCGCGACUAAGCUUGCUGGGCCCUUCGCUUGCCUCAGUUGUCUAGCCUUUGUCCGAAGAAAGCUUAGCAGCUCAGAUAGCACCGAAUGAGGGGUAAAGGGAAAUGCCGACCAAUUGCGCCGCAGCGGGCUGUGCAACUACCUACAACAAGCACAUUAACAUCAGCUUCCACAGGUUUCCUUUGGAUCCUAAAAGAAGAAAAGAAUGGGUUCGCCUAGUUAGACGCAAAAACUUUGUACCAGGAAAACACACUUUUCUUUGUUCAAAGCACUUUGAAGCCUCCUGUUUUGACCUAACAGGACAAACUCGACGACUUAAAAUGGAUGCUGUUCCAACCAUUUUUGAUUUUUGUACCCAUAUAAAGUCUAUGAAACUCAAGUCAAGGAAUCUUUUGAAGAAAAACAACAGUUGUACUCCAGCAGGACCAUCUAAUUUAAAAUCAAACAUUAGUAGUCAACAAGUACUACUUGAACACAGUUAUGCCUUUAGGAAUCCAAUGGAGGCAAAAAAAAGGAUAAUUAAACUGGAAAAGGAAAUAGCAAGCUUAAGAAGAAAAAUGAAAACUUGCCUACAAAAAGAACGAAGAGCAACUCGAAGAUGGAUCAAAGCCACAUGCUUGGUGAAGAAUUUAGAAGCAAAUAACAUAUUACCUAAGGGCACAUCAGAACAGAUUUUACCAACUGCCUUAAGCAAUCUUCCUUUGGAAGAUUUCAAGAUUGUUGAACAAAAUCAACAGGAUAAAACAUUACCAAUUCUCUAAAUCUAAACAGACCAAGAUUAUCUUUUAAGUUUAUCUUCACAGAACUUGAUGACCAUCCUUCAUUAUUUUCAGAGGGUAAAAAUGGGAGUUCAUAACCCACUUGAAUCAAAGUGUGAAAUAUGAUAUAUCAAGAACUAUGUGAUGUUUUGAACAACCAACAACAAAAAUUUAAAAAAAAAAAAAUCAUAUGUGAAUGGAAAAGAAAAAAAAAAGUAAGUUGGGCAAAUAAUCAUUUUAACAUAAAUUUUCCAAGUAUAGAAUCUCAUGCAGUGCACCCCUCCCACUCCAAAUACAAAACAAAGCAUUAAUGCAACCUGUUUCUAUACACAGUAUCUUGAUAACAUUUUAAAAAUCAUAAAUAGGUAAAAUACAAUAAGCUUUUAGCAAAUGUAAUCAUAAUUCACUAUUAUUUGACACCAUUGAAAUCAACUACCACUCAGCAAUUUUAGAGUAAUUUCUUUUUGUUUUCACCUUAUAAUUUUCAUAUUACUAUACUGGUAACAUGCUCAAAAUCCUUCCUGCAGUAAAUUAUUUUAUUAAUGGAUAUCUGUCCACCUUAAGACAAACUUCAUUCACAGAGAAAAAUGUAAGAAAGAAUGUAUAAAUCCUAUAUUCAGUUUACUGAUAGAUUUUAGCACUUGACUGAACACCAUAAAACUAAUCCAAAUAACUUUCUUUGGCUGAACACAACACAGAUCCUGUGUUCAUUUAUUGUGUCUACUGGCAAUUAACCAAACAGCUAAAGGAUAUGAUAUAAAAGUGAAUAUUGAGCUGGAGGUGUACCUUUGUGAUAGUAGAGUGUUCUUAGCUCACAAAAGGGCCUAUGUUAAAUCCAAAAAAAAAAAAAGAUGAAUGUAAUGUGAUAUUCUGCCCUUAUGUUGCUCAAAGUUUCCUGAAAGAAAUAUUUAUAAUACCAUAUGAAAAUGCUACAAAAGGUAUAAAGUACUUUGAAAAACACUGGAAGUAGAAGUCAAUGAGAACAUAUAAUCAAAUAAUUUUCUUUUGAAAUGAAACUUAUUUUUUUUUCUUUUUCUUUUUCUUUUUUUUUUUUUUUUGAGAUUGGGGUGUUACUGUGUUGCCCAGGCUGGUCUUAAAUCUCCUGAACUCAAGGGAUCCUCUAAGGGCUGAGACUACAGGCCACCACACCCAGCUCAGAUUUCUUAUAGACUUACCAAAGGAGGUAGAAGGACAUUGGUGUUUGAACUGAAUUACAGUGUUAUCUGAGCAUUUUUACCCUUUAAAAUGAACACUGAUCUAAUCUGUAAUAGAAUCUUUGCUAAAAGGAAAACAGCUAUAAAGAAAAUAUUACAUCAAAGCUAAGUACUGGAGUUUAUUUGAAAUUUGAUAUUUUAUACAAAAUAACAAACCCUAUUAUAGAUUUCUAAAAUAAAGUAACUCAAUCUUUACAAAACAGUUGGCAUCCAUUUGUUCUCUUACUUUUUCUUUAAAAACUUAAGUGUGGUAGGUGGUAGUAUCUGAUUUUCAUAAGAAUCCUCUGUUGAUUCAACUUAUUUAUUCAGACAUUUACUGUGCCAACUUGCACUAGAAAUAGAAAUGCCUUGGGCUGGGAUUGUGGCUCAGUGGCAGAGCGCUCGCCUAGCUCGCCUAGCUCCUGUGAGGCCCUGGGUUCAAUCCACAGCACCACAUAAAAACAAGUAAAAUAAAGGUAUUGUGUCCAUCUACAACUAAAAAACAAAUUUUAAAAAAAGAAGAAAUAUAAAUGACUGUGGUCUAAAAAAAUUCUAGAAUGAACACAGAUCUUCUGCCUUCAGAUUCCCUCUGCCCUCCACAUUCUAACCCUUUAACAUAAAUCUAGUUAUUAAAAUAAUACAAAUCAUCUCAAAAAAAUAAUAUAAAAUUUUAUGUGUAUAUACAGAUAAUCUGUGAGGUCAUUGUUCUUUUCUGGGUAGACUUAAUAAUGUUUGUUUUCUCAUUUUGCAGUGUUAGAAUACGGGUCAAUUUUAAUUUUGGUAUGAUAUGGAAAAUGGCUCAUCUUUAUACAAGAAAUAGGAUUCUUUUGAUAUCUGGACAGUUGGAAACUUUCUAAAAUUAAGGAUUUUGUACUGUAUAUUCAACAACUGCAUAUUGUAUUCACAAAAAUGUAUUUGAAGUUUGUUAAUAUUAAAUACUUUUUUCCAAGGAAA